AGCACAAGUAAAUAUGGGAAUGUUAUGAUGAAAAUCUCAGUUAUUUCUAAUUGAUGAAAAUACCCUGGUGUUUAUACAAAGCUACACAGUGACUCACAAUGAAAUGAAGUCAGCAAAAUACCAGACGUUUUUACAUCCAAAACAGAGACAAGUGCCAUAUGUUCAUAAAAUAGUUUUCUCCUUAGUAAAUGUUUAUGAAGAAAAUGAAUGGACAAAUUCCAAAAGGAGAAACUUGGGUAAUAUUAUUUUUAGACAACAGAACUAUUUUUUCCAUUAAGAUUUUUUCUUCUCAUUUACGUAUUUUCAUUGCAAAUCAGAUGACACAAAAGGGUAUCUAAUACUCAUACAAAUAUCUUUAAUAUUCCUUGGUGCUUUACUACCACUGCAGCAAAAAUGUAGGAAAAUGUUUUCCUCGCAGACCAGAAAACCCUAACUCUUGCUGUUUGCUGGAACCAGAACUGGGAGCCUGUGGUCAGAUCGAGAUGUACCUGAAUAGAUGUAGGGCUUGGUGGAGACUUGUGUGGAAGACACUAAUUACCUCAAAGUGGCAACAAGAAUAUCAAAAACAGAGGUCAGGAGACAGCGAUCUUGGCCCAGGAAUCCAUCUGCUGCUGCUGCUUUGAACACUGUGAUCGUGAAGAGAAGCCUCCCCAGGAAGAGAAGGGUCUUAGAAAUCUCCUCCACAAGUCGACAUGGCCACUUUUCCAAGAAGCAAAGCAGUUUUGCAAGAAACUUCAACAAGAGGACUUUCUAGCUACAGCUAUGGGUCAAUUGCUUGCAAGGAUUGCACAAGCAGAGAGAAGGGAAGAGACAAGAUAAAAAAGAUAACAAAACAGUCAUUUCACUUUAAUCAAAUCCUUUCUUGAGGCCUGAGAAACUUUCUAUUACUGUGUGCAUGUUUGUUUGUUUUUUUUUUUAAUUUCCAUUUCCAUUUGCUUGUACACUUGUGACUUGCAGCUGACACUACAAGCAGUACUGCCAAAACACCAUGGGAAACACCAUACCUUCUAUUUUUCUGACCGCACAGUAAUAUCCUGAAGAAGAAACAAACUGGUUUUCAUGAAAGUUUCUAUCUGAGGCCAGGCUGGGUCACAUACUAGUUUGCCCUGUUGCCAGCACCAGAUAAAGAAGAAAAAGAGUAAGCCUUUCUGCAGGGUGAGGAGAAAUUCAGGGGUAAUUCUCAAAUUUAUGAUUGGCCAUAAAAGUACUUUUUCACUUUUGCUUUUAGGUACAGCUUACAAUGGCUGCUCAUCUACUUUCAGGCAUAGUAGUGGGUGGUCACCACAGUCAGGUCAUGGGUAGUGACUGUUACUGCAUAUCACAGUUGUUUCUUUUUUUCCCUUUUGUCAAGAACAAAAGGUCAGAAAACUUUAAUGUCUCUGAAUACAUUAAUUCAAGCCUAUUAAAUUACUACUCUGUCCAUUUAAUCUCAGAAGUAUUUUCUAAAAAUGCAUGUGUCAUUUAAUGUGUUACUUUAUUUAGAAGCAAACAAAUAUUUUUUUUCUGGAGAUUAAUGAGUGCCAGUUAUAUAAGCUGCAGCAUUUACCACUAUUUGGCUACAGCAGACAGAAAAUGAAGUUCUUAUAUGAACAAGAAGAACAGUUAUCAUGGCCUAUUAAAGAUUGUCAAAUUUUGUUAUCAUUCUUCCUCUUAUCCCUCCUCCAGUAUUUUUUCUACUUAAACAGAUUGGACAUUCAGAGCAUUUCAUGCAUGUUGGAGGAAUUUCUUGUUGCUGGCAACAGUCUGGUAUAAUGACAAUCCACCCACAAGCAGUCCAGCAGCAGGAGAGAAGAGAUUUUAGAUUUGUCGUUUUUACAGCAUAUAUCUAUUAACUACAUUUGCAGUAGAGAAACACUGGAGACAGCAAAAUAAGCAAUGGUCCACUGAUUACCUGUAGGUCAAACUGAGAUAGCCACUAAUAAUGUAAACUAGUAACAAUAAAAGAAUCAAAACCUAAAUUAAGAAGUGAGGAAUAUAAACUGCAAGUAUCUGUUCACUCAUCCUCUUUGUUUUGAGUACAUCAGCCCAAAGGAAGCCUGAAACACAGGAGUGCAUUUCUUCCCUAUUGUGAACCUCUGGGAGUGCACUGAUCAGUUUCCUACUCUGUACAACAGCAGGUUUGGGCAAAGGCCUCGGUUGUGCUUUCAAAAGGUUUGAUGGGCUUAGUUCCUCUCAUCCAAAAAGCAAAUGACAGAGGCUAAAGACUGUAAUCAAGAACUUCAUCACUCUGGUACAGUGAGAAAUACAGUAGCAGCACAGAACCUUUCCUAGGCAGGAGAGAGGAGUAUGCUGUUCAGGAACCUGCCACAUGCUGUCAAACACCCUUAAUAUUAAAGUCUGUGGAAAAUCAUGUCUUUGCUCCUUCAUUGAGUAUGUUUUCAAACCUCAUCUCCACAUGCACAGAAGGGUGGACUCACCCAGUACAAAUAUCUGUAAGCGUCUACAACUGAACUGAUCACACUUCCAGUAGAUGGAGAACAGUUAAUGAAAUCUGAAAGUACAAUUCUCACCAGCAAUGAAUAGGUACUUAAAAAAAAAGAUGGUUACACUGUGGAUAGCUUGAAUUAAUGUGAAGAUGAAAAGUCUUCAGAGCAAUUAUACUAUACACAUGGUAUCUGUUCGAUCUUAAUGCUGAAUAGUUAAAAUUGCAAGGCAAUGGCUGAAAAUGCAUUAAGUUUCUAAUGAGGAAAGUCAGAUGGAUCUUUGUGUAAUUCUAAAAUGACGUACAUAGCCUGAUAAUCAAAAUCUGC
Long non-coding RNA from Gallus gallus (chicken), 2750 nucleotides. NCBI's taxonomy places the organism in Eukaryota, Metazoa, Chordata, Aves, Galliformes, Phasianidae. The record is from Ensembl.